This 916-nucleotide ribosomal RNA is filed under the name uncultured bacterium. RNAcentral's name for it is "bacterial SSU rRNA". It matches the Rfam family "Bacterial small subunit ribosomal RNA", at positions 246 to 1155 of the family's 1533-position model. The record is from RNAcentral.
UUGUUGGUAAGGUAAAAGCUUACCAAGGCUUCGAUCAGUAGCUGGUCUGAGAGGACGACCAGCCACACUGGGACUGAGACACGGCCCAGACUCCUACGGGAGGCAGCAGUGGGGAAUUUUGGACAAUGGGGGCAACCCUGAUCCAGCCAUGCCGCGUGAGUGAAGAAGGCCUUCGGGUUGUAAAGCUCUUUCAGCCGGAACGAAACGGUUACGGUUAAUACCCGUGACUACUGACGGUACCGGAAGAAGAAGCACCGGCUAACUACGUGCCAGCAGCCGCGGUAAUACGUAGGGUGCGAGCGUUAAUCGGAAUUACUGGGCGUAAAGCGUGCGCAGGUGGUUUUGUAAGUCAGAUGUGAAAGCCCCGGGCUCAACCUGGGAACCGCGUUUGAAACUACAAGACUAGAGUGUGGCAGAGGGGGGUGGAAUUCCGCGUGUAGCAGUGAAAUGCGUAGAGAUGUGGAGGAACACCGAUGGCGAAGGCAGCCCCCUGGGUCAACACUGACGCUCAGGCACGAAAGCAUGGGGAGCAAACAGGAUUAGAUACCCUGGUAGUCCAUGCCCUAAACGAUGUCAACUAGUUGUCGGGCCUUUACGGGCUUGGUAACGUAGCUAACGCGUGAAGUUGACCGCCUGGGGAGUACGAUCGCAAGAUUAAAACUCAAAUGAAUUGACGGGGACCCGCACAAGCGGUGGAUUAUGUGGAUUAAUUCGAUGCAACGCGAAAAACCUUACCUACCCUUGACAUGUAUCGAAGCCCGCAGAAAAGCGGGGGUGCCCGAAAGGGAACGAUAACACAGGUGCUGCAUGGCUGUCGUCAGCUCGUGUCGUGAGAUGUUGGGUUAAGUCCCGCAACGAGCGCAACCCUUGUCAUUAAUUGCCAUCAUUUAGUUGGGCACUUUAAUGAGACUGCCGG